UUUUUUUUUUAUACCAUGCCAUAUACAUUUAAUUUUCUUCAGAAUUUGAUUUAGGUUUCGAGGGAUUUUCACAAAAAGGAUCCCGUUUGGGAGAUGUUUGAUGACCUCGGUCGUAAAGCAGGGCAAACUCAAAUUCUCAUGCAAAUUUAUCACUGCUGUCUCUGCGAUUCACAUUCUCGGAAAUAGGAGUUGCAGAUUGUAGAACCGGAUGUUGGUGGUUGACUUCUUGCUUUUACGUUCGUUACCUGUUGUCAAAAAAAAGGAUACUGUUAGUUGUUAGAAGGAGACAGCAGCAAACAUAGUGAAGAUGGAGUGUAAUAAAGAUGAAGCCAUUAGGGCUAAGGAUAUUGCAAUGGAGAAGAUGGCAGAGAAGGACAUUGCUGGAGCAAAAAAAUUUGCUUUGAUGGCCCAAAGCUUGAUGCUGACCUUGAUGGCUUCCUCAAUUACUGGCACUCUUGAUGUGUACGCCUCAGCUGAGAAGAAAAUUAAUGGUAAAUGAAUGGAUGACGUGACACUCGGGUCCCCCCAGGCGGGUUCAGGGCGCCAUGAAGCGCGGUUUAUUAAGGUAUAACGCACCGGACCGGAUUUUUGGAUUUGAGGCGUUACAUAAUGGUAUUAAAGUCAUUACCCAUCCAAAAGUGUGAUGAGAUUCACAUUGCCUGGGUUUGGAAAUGCGGAUUCACAAUGAGGACGUUGCGUUCUAUAAGUGGGGGAGAAUGUGAUACCCCAUGAAAGAAAUGCUUAAAAGGAUUGACAUGUGUUGGUUUGUAGGGGCCAAUCAUUAGUCUGAUAAGGCCGCUCCCCUGUUGUCUGGUCCAAGUGGAGGAGAAGAGACGCAGUGCUCCGUAACAGACUCAGGUCGCAGAUAUUGCCAAGGGGGCAGGAGCCCCUGAGAGAUCGGCGGGUCAAGGCCGCCGUUGAGCUAGUGAGAUUACCCUGUGAGGAGGGUAAGAUUUUGUAAUAAGGGUUCGGAUGAACGCCGCAGACAUCCUUUCGGCAUCUCUAUUGACGUAGUUCAAGAAACCAGGUAAAUGAAUGGAUGACAUUGCACGCAGGUCCCACUAGGCAGGUUUAGGGCGCCACGAAGCACGAUUUAUUGAGGUGUAACGCACCGGACUGAGUUUUCGGAUUCAGGACGUUAUAGUGAGAAUAGACUAGAAAACUCUUUAGGGGAGGGUGAGUGUUCAUUAGUCAUUUGUAAAACUCACUAACCAUUGUCAAAAUGUUUAGCCUAUUUGCCUCCCUCGCUAAGUACACAAUGUCAAUGGAGGUGUUCUUAAUGAAUUACGUUUGUUUCAAUGU
This is a long non-coding RNA of Malania oleifera, 1302 nucleotides long. RefSeq lists it as uncharacterized. Lineage: Eukaryota; Viridiplantae; Streptophyta; Magnoliopsida; Santalales; Ximeniaceae. The transcript has 6 exons. The record is from RefSeq and is a predicted model, not a curated record.